Molecule: ribosomal RNA, 172 nt
Filed under: uncultured bacterium
Lineage: Bacteria
Description: partial 16S ribosomal RNA
Rfam family: Bacterial small subunit ribosomal RNA
Source: RNAcentral
UCCUACGGGAGGCAGCAGUAAGGGAUAUUGCACAAUGGGCGCAAGCCUGAUGCAGCAACGCCGCGUGCGCGAUGAAGGCCUUCGGGUCGUAAAGCGCUUUUCUGGCUGACGAGGAAGGACAGUAGGCCAGGAAUAGGUGUCGGCUAACUACGUGCCAGCAGCCGCGGUAAUA